RNAcentral lists this small RNA (658 nucleotides) under Malus domestica (apple). Its description in RNAcentral is "sRNA MD16G0105600". The record is from RNAcentral. Lineage: Eukaryota; Viridiplantae; Streptophyta; Magnoliopsida; Rosales; Rosaceae.
AUCCGCUGCUUUGCCAGUUCGACCCCAAAAAAUCGUUUGCCAUACACUGAGCUGAGCAGGAAAGCUCGAAUCAACGAACAGGGACUUAGAGAUGGCGUUUAUAAUGGAGUUUGCUGAGAAUUUGGUAUUGAGGCUAAUGGAGGACCCUAAGGAGAGGGAUAGGAAGUUCAGGGAGCACGUGUAUGCGGUGAAGGACCGGUGCCAAAAGACCAAGGACAUGUGGGCGCUACCCCUCCGUCCCUACGGAUUUUGGACCUUUGAGCGCCAUAAUUCGCAGCUCCGUUGGGAUGCUCAGAUUAGCCAGGUUGAGGGCCGGAGGGAUCCUUAUGAUGAUCUCCUCGAACACAGCAAUGAUCUCGUCACCCCCAAAACUAAAUGAGUGCAUAAGGUCAAGCCAUCUGCAUAAUUCAGGUUGAGGCUUCUGUUGCAGUUGGGAAUUUGGUGUUGUCGUAAAAUGAUGUUCGGUUUUAAUGUUUAUUCAAGAUUGGUCUCUGUUUGAAUAAGAGUCCCAUGUAUCUUCGAUGUUGCGGAAGAAAACAUUUAAUGCGUUAAUUCUACAAGUUUUCUGUUAUCGUACAAUCUUUGGGUUUCCAUUGGCUUUAGUUUGGGAUUAUGCAGACAACACGAAAUAAAAGUUUGAAUUAGUUUUUUUUGUCAC